RNAcentral lists this ribosomal RNA (253 nucleotides) under uncultured bacterium. RNAcentral's name for it is "partial 16S ribosomal RNA". It matches the Rfam family "Bacterial small subunit ribosomal RNA", at positions 524 to 776 of the family's 1533-position model. The record is from RNAcentral.
GACAGAGGUGCCAAGCGUUAGGCGGAAUCACUGGGCUUAAAGCGUGUGUAGGCGGAUUUGUAAGUACCUUGUGAAAUCCCACGGCUUAACCGUGGAACUGCUCGGUAUACUGCGAAUCUUGGGCCAUCUAGGGGCGAGCGGAACAAGUGGUGGAGCGGUGAAAUGCGUAGAUAUCACUUGGAACGCCAAUGGUGAAAACAGCUCGCUGGGGAUGUGCCGACGCUGAGACACGAAAGCCAGGGGAGCAAACGGG